AGCAAUGCCCGUUAUAUAGGAAACCAGUGCAAGUGAAAAUUUUGGGCAACGAUAUAACAAUUGAAGGCAGGAGAUUAUGGUAAUAAUCGAUAAUUAAUCAUGACUAAGAGUUCAGCACUUCAGUUGAAGCUCUAUAAGCUCCUAAACUUUUUGAUGAGACAUGACAUUUAAACAUAUCUCACAGUGUUUUAUAAUUCUAUGCAAACAGUUAGUGAGUUAACUGACACUAAAAAU
RNAcentral lists this unclassified non-coding RNA (234 nucleotides) under Hevea brasiliensis (rubber tree). The record is from RNAcentral. Lineage: Eukaryota; Viridiplantae; Streptophyta; Magnoliopsida; Malpighiales; Euphorbiaceae.